CAGCAGCCACGGGAAUACGAAGGGGGGCUAGCGUUGUUCGGAAUUACUGGGCGUAAAGCGCACGUAGGCGGAUAUUUAAGUCGGGGGUGAAAUCCCAGAGCUCAACUCUGGAACUGCCUUUGAUACUGGGUAUCUUGAGUAUGGAAGAGGUGAGUGGAAUUCCGAGUGUAGAGGUGAAAUUCGUAGAUAUUCGGAGGAACACCAGUGGCGAAGGCGGCUCACUGGUCCAUUACUGACACGGAGGUGCGAAAGCGUGGGGAGCAAACAGGAUUAGAUACCCCCGUAGUCCCUGUCUCUUAUA
Molecule: ribosomal RNA, 301 nt
Filed under: uncultured bacterium
Lineage: Bacteria
Description: partial 16S ribosomal RNA
Rfam family: Bacterial small subunit ribosomal RNA
Source: RNAcentral